AAUCUAUUCUUGCAUUUUCUUAAAAGAACAUAAUUCUAUUGUAAAUUAAAGCAUAGCAAUCAAAUUAUAUAUUUUUCUGAGGUUUUCCAAAAGUAUCUUUUAAAAAUUAUUGUAAGUGUAAUUGAACUUAACUUUCUCCAAUAUUUUUAUAUUAAGUCCCAUGCUAAAUUAAAAUCAGAUAAGCAUCUUUAAGCAAACCUUUUUUAUUUUCUAGCAAGUGUGUGCUUCUAUUUUUGGAAUUGUUAAUACAAUUUUAAAAAUUAGGAAAAAAAAAGAAAGAAAUACAAAUGACACAGUCACUUUGCCUAAGUGUGCAUAUUUUGCCAGUGGCCUUCAGAGGGGCGUUGGUUUUUGAUCUUUAAAAUUAUGGUUGCUAUCCUUUUACAUAUUUCAUGUUCUAAAAAUACUUUCACAGAAUAGACCUUCUCAUUAUUUCUUUCUUAAUCGUUUUCUUGUUUUAGUGCAAGGAAAAAUUAAAACAGAAAUGAAAAAUGAAGAAGUUGGUUAUACCAGAAAUCACUGAAGCAGGAAAUGUUCAUCGUAAAAUGAGAGCUAAAAGACUCUGUUUCAGUGGCUGAGACUGACAGCUCUGUGUUUCUGCUGUUGCACGUGGGAGAAAACUGGAUGCAAAAUGUAAAAAGACAAGGGAGAUUUUGUGCAACUCCAAUAUGCAUAUAAAGGUAUCUUGAAAUAAAAAACUUUUUAACAGCUAUUCA
RNAcentral lists this long non-coding RNA (716 nucleotides) under Chrysemys picta bellii (western painted turtle). RNAcentral describes it as "lncRNA (ENSCPBG00000028349.1)". The record is from RNAcentral. Lineage: Eukaryota; Metazoa; Chordata; Testudines; Emydidae.